Molecule: ribosomal RNA, 301 nt
Filed under: uncultured bacterium
Lineage: Bacteria
Description: partial 16S ribosomal RNA
Rfam family: Bacterial small subunit ribosomal RNA
Source: RNAcentral
CAGUAGCCGCGGGAAUACGUAGGGUGCGAGCGUUAAUCGGAAUUACUGGGCGUAAAGCGUGCGCAGGCGGUUCGUUAAGACAGAUGUGAAAUCCCCGAGCUUAACCUGGGGACUGCAUUUGUGACUGGCGAGCUAGAGUAUGGCAGAGGGGGGUAGAAUUCCACGUGUAGCAGUGAAAUGCGUAGAGAUGUGGAGGAAUACCGAUGGCGUAGGCAGCCCCCUGGGCCAAUACUGACGCUCAUGCACGAAAGCGUGGGGAGCGAACAGGAUUAGAUACCCGAGUAGUCCCUGUCUCUUAUAC